CAACUUCUUUAGAUAAAAUGUGAAUGGAAAAAAUGUUUUCGAAGAGAAAGCGCAGAGUGGGCGAUACCAUGGAUCCAGAGAAUACACAUGGUCACUUAAAAAGCUCAUGGAAAAACAGAAUUAAAAGGAGAUACAGAAUCCAACUUGACUCUGAGGAGAAACCCACAGGAUGAAGAAGUCCACUGCCCAUUGCCCAGAAAGAAUCCUGGAGAAGCCAAGAGACCUGGCCCCGAAGGCCAUUAUGGAGUAGCUGGACCUGCUGUGACAACGGAAGAAGAAAAGUCUCCCUCCCCGAUGCAAGGAUUUUCUGCAGCACUGAAAGCAUUCCUAUGACACAUCAUCUCUUAGUACCACACAGCACUAAUCCUGUGGCUGAGACGGAAAGCAGUAGAAGAUGGCCCAAAUCCUUAGACCCCUGCACCCACGUGGGAGACCCGGAAGAAGCUCCUGGCUCCUGGCUUCAGAUCGGCACAGCUCUGGCCAUUGCGGCCAAUUGGAGAGUGAACCAGCAGAUGGACGACCUCUCUC
Molecule: non-coding RNA, 528 nt
Organism: Oryctolagus cuniculus (rabbit)
Lineage: Eukaryota; Metazoa; Chordata; Mammalia; Lagomorpha; Leporidae
Source: RefSeq, a predicted model, not a curated record